This is a long non-coding RNA of Alligator sinensis (Chinese alligator), 1725 nucleotides long. RefSeq lists it as uncharacterized. The transcript has 3 exons. The record is from RefSeq and is a predicted model, not a curated record. NCBI's taxonomy places the organism in Eukaryota, Metazoa, Chordata, Crocodylia, Alligatoridae.
CAGGAGGGGGCUCCUAGACCAUGGGUGGGUCCUGGAGGCGGCUCUGUUCCCCCCCACGCGCCUGCAUUUGAUUUUCUGCAGCCCAGUGAGCCACAUAUCAUCCCCUGGCAUCACUCUAUCCUAAAGAUCAUCUGUAGGGGCCCCAGGGUGGGAGACUAUGCAUGGAGCUGGGGCUGGGACUGGGGCAUGCACCUCAAGGGCUGCAGGAAGUAUGUGGACACUGCCUCAUCCUCAGGAAGGAACGUGCCUUAGUGGUUGGUGCACAGCACUGGGAGUCCAUGGCUGGCAUCUCGGGGACCUUUGGCUAGUCAUUGCACCCCUCUGUGCCUCCAUUUCCCUCUCUGUAAAAUGGGCAGAACUGUCUCCAAAGCCUCCUUUCAGGGAAUCUGGAGGGAGGAAGGAUACAAGACUUACAGUCAGUAGCCAGUCUCCAGUGCUUUGGAUGGCAGGGGACAGAGGGGGGAGAAGUGUCACUCACAGCGCCACGGAGGGAAGCCAGGUGGGAACUGCAUGUGUGGGAGGCCAAACAGAGACAUAAGACCUGAACAACACAGGUCUGACAACACAGGUCUCAUGCUGCCAAAGGAUAAGAAGUACAUAGAUGGAAGAAACAGUAGAUGUCAAGGCAUGUAAAUGAGGAGAUGCUAUGCUAGUUUGGACAUGUGUUAUGUAGUUUCAUAGUAGUUUGGGGUCAGAAGGGAUCAUCUAGUCUGACCCCCCACCACUGGCAGGAGCACACGCUGGGAUCACACAACCCCAGACAGGUCUGACAACACAGAAUCUGAAGCACUGCAGCCGCUCAACAGCUCCAGUCAGCCCAGAGAGAUCUUGGGGACUACGGUGCUACGGAGACAAAGCGGGGACAGCAUCACGUGGACCUUUAUUGCAGGCCUCCCUACAUUGCCACCAGGAACAUGCACAGACUUCCAGCGUACUCCACCUUGGCCUUCGCCCAGCAGCACCGCAGUCGCCCCAAUGGCAGGAAAGAACGAGCCUUAGCCUCUUGGCGUAGGGAGAGGACAACAGGAUGGAACGAAGUGUGCGGAGGUCCUGGUGCCAUUGUUUGCUGUUCCCCGAGACGUGUAGGCUCAGCCGCGGCUCCUUCAACCGACAGUUCCUCCCCGCGAGGAGCACAGAAGGUGCAGAACCUCUGGCAGGACCAGGCUCAAUGUCCUGGCAGAGGUGUCUUCAGAGUCAGGGGCAGCCUAUCCCCCAGCUCCCAGCCCUGGGCCACAUUAGCACAUGAUUCUUAUCUCUCUCACCUUUUUCUUUUUUGAAAUUAAAAUUAUAUAUGUAUGUGAGAGAGUUAUAUACACAUAUACACCCCCCACACACCCUCCGUUAUAAACUUUCCAUCACACAUCUUAAAACUGCAUUAAGAAACCUGCACUUUCCGUUACAACAAAUGCACCCACUCCCCUGCACACCUACCCUCCACCCUCACCUACCCCAAUCACACUCCUAUGUAAACCCCAAAUUGGGGUUUGGGCUAUUCUCAGUUCAUUCGCUGUCCUUAUCACUGUCACUUCUGCUGCUGCUAAUCCUGUUGCAGUCCUUCUUGCUGUCUCCAGGUCCAGCUGCAUCUCUGUCCCCUUCGUUCUCUCUGUCCACUUUCCCUCCUGAGGGGUCUUUGAACAACCAGUGCCAGGUGUCGCUUUUCCAGAUGAAGUUGGCUGCAUCUUCUCCAUCCUCACUCACCAAUUUCUGGCAGUAGGACUAAAGUUC